CGCUGCCUACAUGGGCCAGGAUGCCCCGAACCGAGCAGUCCGGGAUGGUUAUGCUGGCCUUUAGCUCUACAGACCAGCAUAAUCUCUGUGAGUUUGAGAGCAUUCCCCAACCUCCUCUCAACCAAUCUUAAACAUUGGUUAGAACGCAUGUUCCCAUGGUCAAACGUAGUAAUCCUCCAGAGAAAACGGGGACCGGAUGUAAUUAGCGUGCAGCGGAAGAGGAAGGCGAAAGAAAGGAACGCCGGACGGAAUAUUAUGUUGCCACCCCCAAAACCCCAGCUCUUCCCUCGCAAGCCCCGCAACAAAGGAGGGAAGUCGAAGAAGAAGGCCAAGAUCACCCUCCCCCCUUCCUCCGAUCCCAUCCCUUCUCCCACUCCUCCGCCCCCGCCUCCUCCGACGCCGCCGCCUCCCCCUCCGCCUCCCUUCCUGUUUCGCACCUAUCCUUCGCCUUCCUCGACUUCUUCCACCCCUCUUCCUCCCCCCUCGAUGCCCAGGAAGCGCUUCCUUCGUCGUAUCAUGCCGCUCCUCCUCGUGGGCUCGGGAGCUUAUGCACUAAUGAGGAACUCAGAGAAAGAAUUAGCUGUGAAGGAUGAAAAGCUGGGCUAGAGGUUUCUUCUGUUCCAGUUGAGAGUUCAGAGGUUACAGUUCCUGAGUAAACUUCCAUCAGACCUAUUUCUUCACCUGUAAAGAUUCUUCUUUCAUCAUACGGGGACCAGUAUUGGCUCUUCAUAUGGUUUUAAUAAGAGAAGAGGAUGAUCAAGGCUGGUAGCCUGUUAAAGAAGACAUAAUGUAGUUGGGCACAUUUGUCCAAAGAUUUUGAGUGCCUGGCAGAUAAAUGCAGCGCCAGCAAAUGCCUCUUUGGAUUGAAUUCUGAAGAUCUGCCAUUUUGGAUACAUUUGCAGAAUUCUGUUUUUCUUUGCCAUGAGGAAUAGGUUUAGUUCUGCCUCUUUCUUGAAUAAUGGCAGAAAUGCAUAUUAUAACUGCACUGAUGGAAUGGCAUGCAAUAUCCAACUAACAAGGUUAGUUGUCCAUUGCUUGAAAAUUUUGAAGGAGACAAACUGAAAGAAUGUGAUUCCAAGUGAAACCAAAGUUUAGACAAUAACCUAUUUGGUUAAGAGUUGAUAGUUUGCCUUUUCAAACCAAUAUUGCUAGUAUGGAAACAGUUUGAUGCAUUGGUUAGUCCGAUGUAACUUUGAGCCUGAUAUAACCUAAGCUAAAUACCCUGGACCAGGUUCUUUCUUUCUCUCAACUAGCAUUAACUAGUUAAGUUAGCGGUGCGUCCUUGUACAAAGCAACUUCAGUGAUGUGCCUGCAAUAAAAUCUAGAAGGCCAGUUGGUAGGUAAAAAUUUAUUUUAUUGGUCAUGGAAUUUACACUUAUGCAAGUAAAUACUUUCUCCAGACUUGAGAAAAGUCUAGAUAGAAGGAAGAAAUUUAGGAAUGAAUAUGAGCAACUAUGGUUAUCUCUUGUAGAAGAAACCAAAGAGACAUAUUGAGGCUAAAUGCAUAAUUAGCAGUUGAAGUGAUGAAAGGAUGAGGUUUGGUCCUUGUUCUUCACUGGAACUUUUGUGACCUCAGUCAAUUGAAUGGAGGUGCCAUGCUUUCACUAGCCAUCUUUUGAGGUUUCUGUAAAUUGGAGAUUAUUGGCUUUAUCUAUGGAAUUCCUUUUAGACUCGCACCAUGGGAUGUAUCACAGCCUCUAGAACUACCACCAAACACCCUUCGCUUCAGGACUAUGUAUACUGGUUUGGUUUUUUGUGUUGUUGUAGUUAAUCUUACAUGCACAUGAACUAAGAAUAUAGAAUAUCUGCUGAAACCAAUGGACAUGAAAUUGUUUCAUUUUCUAACAUCUUUUCAGAGGGAAUCCAACUUAUAGCUGUGGAAUCUGUUCAUUUUGUUGGAUGUCUAAUUCAGUAUGCGGCAUAAAUUUUUACUCACCGGAUCAGAUCAUCAAAUAUUUAGAACCCUUCAGCAAAAGUUACAGAGAUUUCUGGUUAAUUUGACAUGGUUGAAUCUUGAAAGAGUUAUAUACCUCUCAUUUCUGUUAUUAGUUCAUCUAUGAAGAGACAGAGCAAUGGGGACAUAAUAUCAGUUUCAUGAGUCUAACAAGAAUUAACAUUGACUCGAAACACGUGUUUUUUUAAUACUAUUUUGGAUAGAUAUUGUAUGGUUUAGAAAGGCCAUCUUUUAAUCUAGAUGUGUUAAUCGAAUAUUAAUGUGUAUUGAACAAAAUUAGGACAAGAAAUAUUAGUCUUUAGAAGAAGCUGUUGGCAAUAAUAUAAAUGAGCGGAAGACAUACACCUUAUCUUUCUUAAGGAAUGGGUUUCUUGUAUGGGUUUAGAAUCUGAGCAACUUGGAACCCCAGAAAUUCCUCAAACUAAGGACCUUAGGCUUAGUCAUGGCUGUUAGGUAGGCUAUCAGUACUUUGGAAAUUGUCAUGAUUUGUUUUUCCAAGUUACUUUGGCUGCCACUGCCACUGCUGUAAACUCGGGUGGAGGUAUUCCUGAAAGGAACUCAGCAACCAGGAAAAUUAUACUGUACAGGAGAAAAUUCUGUUGGUCGCUAGGAGAGGAGGGAGUUAUGGUUAAUGAUGCAGGAGAUUGAACUUGAAAUUUAAAACGUUUUGUUCGCAAUUAGUAUAUAUAUAUAUAUAUAUAUAUCUGUAACCAUAAGUGAUCCGUUUCUCUCUUCAGAAAACAAUGUUCUCUUUGCCAAUUAGUUAGGAAUCUGA
Phoenix dactylifera (date palm) is the source of this 2729-nucleotide non-coding RNA. Lineage: Eukaryota; Viridiplantae; Streptophyta; Magnoliopsida; Arecales; Arecaceae. The record is from RefSeq and is a predicted model, not a curated record.